This 428-nucleotide ribosomal RNA is filed under the name uncultured bacterium. RNAcentral describes it as "bacterial SSU rRNA". It matches the Rfam family "Bacterial small subunit ribosomal RNA", at positions 1 to 454 of the family's 1533-position model. The record is from RNAcentral.
CCUUAUGUGAGCUUGUGACUCCUGGUCUCAAGAUGAACGCUGGCGGUAUGCCUAACACAUGCAAGUCGAACGGAACCUUCGGGUUUAGUGGCGGACGGGUGAGUAACGCGUGAGAAUCUGCCUCUAGGUCGGGGACAACAAUUGGAAACGAUUGCUAAUACCCGAUGUGCAGCAAUGUGAAAGAUUUAUUGCCUAGAGAUGAGCUCGCGUCUGAUUAGCUAGUAGGUGUGGUAAUGGCGCACCUAGGCGACGAUGAGUAACUGGUCUGAGAGGAUGACCAGUCACACUGGGACUGAGACACGGCCCAGACUCCUACGGGAGGCAGCAGUGGGGAAUUUUCCGCAAUGGGCGAAAGCCUGACGGAGCAAUACCGCGUGAGGGACGAAGGCUUUUGGGUCGUAAACCUCUUUUCCCUGAGAAGAAGAUCU